CAGUAGCCGCGGUAAUACGAAGGGGGCUAGCGUUGUUCGGAAUUACUGGGCGUAAAGCGCACGUAGGCGGAUAUUUAAGUCAGGGGUGAAAUCCCGCAGCUCAACUGCGGAACUGCCUUUGAUACUGGGUAUCUUGAGUAUGGAAGAGGUUAGUGGAAUUGCGAGUGUAGAGGUGAAAUUCGUAGAUAUUCGCAGGAACACCAGUGGCGAAGGCGACUAACUGGUCCAUAACUGACGCUGAGGUGCGAAAGCGUGGGGAGCAAACAGGAUUAGAUACCCCUGUAGUCCCUGUCUCUUAUAC
Molecule: ribosomal RNA, 301 nt
Filed under: uncultured bacterium
Lineage: Bacteria
Description: partial 16S ribosomal RNA
Rfam family: Bacterial small subunit ribosomal RNA
Source: RNAcentral